This is a long non-coding RNA of Musa acuminata AAA Group (dessert banana), 3382 nucleotides long. RefSeq lists it as uncharacterized. The transcript has 5 exons. NCBI's taxonomy places the organism in Eukaryota, Viridiplantae, Streptophyta, Magnoliopsida, Zingiberales, Musaceae. The record is from RefSeq and is a predicted model, not a curated record.
AGGACGCAGGUGUAAACCCGGGUUCCGCACGGUGUGCACGGAAGGAUUUGCAUCCAAUGCUUCCCUCCCUCCCAAUCGGCCACUUGCUGCAACCCUAAGCGUCGUGGACACGGCUUCAAUGCUAUGUGGUCUCUCCUCCCCACCAGUUCUCGCGAUCACGAACGGCUCCACAUGGGAGCCAAUAGGCGUCCCUCGCAAUCCCCUCCGCGCUGAUGCUUGAAGAUCGAAGCAGGUCAUGCAGUGAAUGAGGAAGGAGAGGGUUUUGUGGGCCUUGGGAAAGGGUCAAUUUGGGGCAAGGAACAUGAGAAGAAAAAGUUGGGCUCUUUGAAGGCUUUUUACUGCGUGUAAAGGAGAAAGGAGCACGAAAAAGGGAAAAUAUGCGAAGAAUGAGGGAGGACACAGAAUCAAGGGAAGAUGGUUGGCGUCAAGAAGAAGAAUCGGCCUUUCAGGGACUGCGCAGGGCAGUGCUCUCUCGGAAAAGCCCUCUUUUCAGUCUCAGUGUCUUCCUCGUCCUGCUCAGCCUUCUUUCUUCGAGAUCAUGCUUGGUCGUUUCAGAGAGAACUUGCAUUUCUAUUGGGUGUAAUCAUGGUUUAUGGAAAGGGGAGUUUAUUCUUCGACAGGCUCAAGACAGUUCUAUUUUAUUCCCAACCGAUGGCAAUGCAUUCGAGCAUGGAAAUUUUUUAUCUUGUUAAGUGUAAUAUAUUUCUUCAUGCAAGUGGUAUUAUAGGGUGUUUGCUUUUGAUGCAUUAUUCUUCCUCUUCGCAUGCAAUAUUUCUUUUUUCUGGUAGUCUUGCUCAGUGAUUUAAAAAGCGCUAGGCGCUAAAUGGCGUCACGGUCCAAAAACGCUCGACGCCCUCGCCCAAGCUAAGUGAUACGCUAAAAAUUAAUAAUAUUAAAAUUAAUAGUAUCAAAAUCAAAAUAAUAGUGUUAUAUUGUAUACUGUUAACAGUAUACUUUCGAUUUCGAAAGAGGAGAAGCGAAAGAGAUGAGAAGAGUGUAAGGGAAGACCGAGGGUGCUGAGAAAAGCGGGAGCGGCAGCGGCAACGGCGAGCGAUGAUAGUGGCAGUGGCAGCGGUAGCAACGAGCAGCGGGAGCGGCGAUAGAGGCAGUGACAGCGGCAGCGGGAGCGACGAGCGGCGACAGUGACAGCGGCAACGGUAAAAGCGAGCAGCGGCAGCGAGAGUGGCGAGCGGCAACAGUGGCAGCGGCAGCAGCGGGAGCGGUGACAGCGGGAGCAGCAACGAGCAGCGUGAACAGCGAACAGGGUUAGGGUUGGGGAAGUCGCGCUGAUAUCGGUGCUUUCGUUGGUUCGAUUGAACCAACUAAAGCACCGGAGACUGAACCAAACCUAAAUCGUUGGUUCGGUCACUUGGUUUAACCCAGGCGCUCACCCGAAGCGCCCGGCGCCUGGGCUCGGGCGAGCGCCUAGGCGGCACCUCUUUGAAGCACGCCGCUUGGAAAUGAAGCGAGGCGCUCGGGCCUCGCCUCGCCCGAGCGACUAGACAAGCACCCGAGUGCCUUUUUAAAUCACUGGUCUUGCUUGAUAUCUGCUUUUGAACAUUUAUAUGCAGUUUAUACGACCAAAAUUCAUCAAUAAAGUAGUUCGCUUGGCCAGUGAGUUCAAGUGUCUAUUGUUAAUGGCUCCUUGGCUUUUCAAGAAGAAUGACAUGAUUUUGUGUUGGAUCAUUCCGUUUGUCUUGUGGAGGUUUUGAUAUUUAACUAAGUGCCCAUUGUGAACAAGCAACAGAAGAACCCGAAGAAAAGGGGAGUCUUCCCAUUGAACAACCCACAACAUGUGUUGUUCAUAAAACUUAAUUGCAUGAUCAGGAAAUCCUUGAAACUGGGCUCCAUUCUGAACUCGUGAUGAGAUUCCCACUGGUUGAAGAAAACUUAUCAUGCAACGGGAAUAGCCAUGGCAAAUCUGAAAUUGCGCCAACAGUUGCAUGCAGAAGAUCUGAGACUAAACAUUAAUUUGUUUGCUGUUGGGGCAUCAUCCCCUAUAUUCCUAAAUUAGAUUUCUCACUGCCACAAAACACAACUGAGAAAUGUCCAGCAGGAGAACAGGAGGAACGCAAAAUUCAGAUGGUUAGUUUGAGAGGACACUGAACUCUUGAUGUUAUGGGGACAAAUUUGAUUGCAUCUGAGGAAGUUGUCUGCAAAUUUCUUCUCACAAAGGAAGGCAUACGCCGCAUUGUCAAUGAUGACUUGUAGAAUGGACUCAGUGCCAUUAAAGAAACCCCUGUUAAUUUACCUGCCGGUGAAGUUGCUCCUAGCAUAAGCUGCAAUGACAGUGUUACCAUGUGUAGAGAUCCUUCCUUGCUUUCUGAAGAUAAUUGCCCUGGACUUAACGGUGGACCAUGUUGAAGAUGAAACAAGCAAUGGUAUGCAUGCAUGUGAGGAGGAUGGUGAGUACCCAUUGACUGAAAGAGAUGAUUUCUUCAACAUGGAUCUUCAGAAAAUUUUUUAAUGUGAUGUUCGUUUUGGUGUAAAUUUUUACUGGCCUCUUCCAUAAGUUCUGCAGGAUAGAAAAAAAAAACUCCUUUUCUUGUAGGAAAUACCCCAGGUUCAUUAUUAAGAAAAGAUUCUCUUCAUUGGUUGGAAGCAUCAGAAGUACCUCACAGGACAUGCCUUCUGUGGAUUUUACUGAGGAAAAUACAUCCAAUCUGGAAAAGUGUCUGAUGCGCUUCCAGAAGAGGAUGAGAAAGAGGAUACUCUUUGCACAAUAAGUCAAAAUCUUAAAAAUCAAGCCAUGGAUUUAGAUGACCUUUCUUCACCAAAUUCUUUCUGCUUCAGCUUAAAACCUUAUCAUCCAACAUUCAGUGUUGUCUCAAGUCAACCGUAACCUUUCCAUGAGGUUCUGAUUCUGAUCCUUUUACACUAGCAGAAGUUGCCCCAGUGGUUGCCAUCUCAGAAGGAUAAAAGACAUGAUAGGAACAUUGUAACUCUUCGGGAUCCAUCUGACAGACUUUGGCCUGCCACGUACCAUGAAAGCAUCAAGUUUAUAGGCUUUGCAAAUGGUUGGAAGGAUUUUACAAUAGCAAACAACAUUCAGCAGGGAAAUCUUUGCAGGAUUUUAUAACCGAGUUUGAGCCUACAAUUAAAGUGCAGAUAAGUUAAACUGUCGAAUGCAUUUUGAGUUGGCUCUAGUAAGAUACAUGUUGCCAGUGCCAGUUCUGUCUUCAACAUCUAUCGUUUUACGUAUGUAAUUUUGGUCAUAGUACUUAUCAUGCACUGUGUUUACUGCUGCUACAUGUACUCCAUAUGUAAUUAAGCUUCACAAAUGUAAAUUAUGUUUCGCCGCCGAGCGAAAGAUAUAACGUUUCUUGCACUCAUCAAUGAAUUGUACAUAUUGUAAAUGAUGAUACAACUGUGGGUUUCUUCA